GAUGAACGCUGGCGGCGUGCCUAAUACAUGCAAGUAGAACGCUGAAGGAGGAGCUUGCUCUUUCCGGAUGAGUUGCGAACGGGUGAGUAACGCGUAGGUAACCUGCCUGGUAGCGGGGGAUAACUAUUGGAAACGAUAGCUAAUACCGCAUAACAGUAGAUAUUGCAUGAUAUUUGCUUGAAAGGGGCAAUUGCUCCACUACCAGAUGGACCUGCGUUGUAUUAGCUAGUUGGUGAGGUAACGGCUCACCAAGGCGACGAUACAUAGCCGACCUGAGAGGGUGAUCGGCCACACUGGGACUGAGACACGGCCCAGACUCCUACGGGAGGCAGCAGUAGGGAAUCUUCGGCAAUGGACGGAAGUCUGAACGAGCAACGCCGCGUGAGUGAAGAAGGUUAUCGGAUCGUAAAGCUCUGUUGUAAGAGAAGAACGAGUGUGAGAGUGGAAAGUUCACACUGUGACGGUAUCUUACCAGAAAGGGACGGCUAACUACGUG
RNAcentral lists this ribosomal RNA (496 nucleotides) under uncultured bacterium. Its description in RNAcentral is "partial 16S ribosomal RNA". It matches the Rfam family "Bacterial small subunit ribosomal RNA", at positions 28 to 507 of the family's 1533-position model. The record is from RNAcentral.